This 391-nucleotide ribosomal RNA is filed under the name uncultured bacterium. Its description in RNAcentral is "bacterial SSU rRNA". It matches the Rfam family "Bacterial small subunit ribosomal RNA", at positions 28 to 416 of the family's 1533-position model. The record is from RNAcentral.
AUUGAACGCUGGCGGAAUGCUUUACACAUGCAAGUCGAGCGGCAGCGCGGGGGCAACCCUCGGCGGCGAGCGGCGAACGGGUGAGUAAUACAUCGGAACGUGUCCUUGAGUGGGGGAGUAGCUCGGCGAAAGCCGGAUUAAUACCGCAUAAGCUCUGCGGAGGAAAGCGGGGGACGUGGUAACGGCCUCGCGCUGUUGGAGCGGCCGAUGUCGGAUUAGCUAGUUGGUGGGGUAAAGGCCCACCAAGGCGACGAUCCGUAGCUGGUCUGAGAGGAUGAUCAGCCACACUGGAACUGAGACACGGUCCAGACUCCUACGGGAGGCAGCAGUGGGGAAUCUUGCGCAAUGGGCGAAAGCCUGACGCAGCGACGCCGCGUGAGGGAUGACGGCC